GAAUACAUGGCCAUGGUUUGCAAUUUUGAAACCGUGGCCUCAUCAUUUUAACUCAAUUUUCCACGCGGCGACGCGAUUCCAUCAUUUGUGCUAAAAGAGAAAUGAAAGUCAAGAAGGGGAAAAAAAAAUCAAAAAUCAAAAAAGAAAAAAGAAAAAGGAUAAAAUAAAAACAACUCUAAAUUAACUACUGCUUCUACUUCUGUUCCGGGACUGCUUCUGUCCUCUGCUUCUGUUCUCUGCUACUGAUUGAUCACCCGUUUCCAGAGUACUACCCAUUGAUUUGCAUGGCUGCUUCCUCAUUCUACUACAAACCCUCUUCAUUAUCUUUCUUUCUUUUUUCCUCUUCUUUAUACUCAUCUGUAAUGUGUUUGCCUAUUCACUGUAAUGAAUUUCUUUCCAUGUCCUUCUUCUUUCGUCACCACAACAUUGUCGGGGACACCACGUCUUGGCGUCCAUGCGGACGCCAAGACACGACUUUUAGUGGGAAUAUGGCUUGGCAUGUUCCUGCCUCCAAUAAACAUGAGCACA
Molecule: small RNA, 528 nt
Filed under: Histoplasma capsulatum var. duboisii H88
Lineage: Eukaryota; Fungi; Ascomycota; Eurotiomycetes; Onygenales; Ajellomycetaceae
Description: Histoplasma capsulatum H88 hypothetical RNA
Source: RNAcentral